Molecule: non-coding RNA, 133 nt
Organism: Geobacillus sp. Y4.1MC1
Lineage: Bacteria; Bacillati; Bacillota; Bacilli; Caryophanales; Anoxybacillaceae
Source: Rfam
UGGCAAAAGCAGAAGCACCCCGCUUCUCACCUGGUUGACGCCCGCGUGGCUGUUGACAGGUCGUUACGGUUCGUACAUCGUAUUCAGACGUAAGCAGUGUGGGUGUCGUAUGCAUCCACACUUUUUUAUUAGA